GAUGAACGCUGGCGGCGUGCCUAAUACAUGCAAGUCGAGCGAACAGAUAAGGAGCUUGCUCCUUUGACGUUAGCGGCGGACGGGUGAGUAACACGUGGAUAACCUACCUAUAGGACUGGGAUAACUUCGGGAAACCGGAGCUAAUACCGGAUAACAUAUUGAACCGCAUGGUUCAAUAGUGAAAGGCGGCUUUGCUGUCACUUAUAGAUGGAUCCGCGCCGUAUUAGCUAGUUGGUAAGGUAACGGCUUACCAAGGCAACGAUACGUAGCCGACCUGAGAGGGUGAUCGGCCACACUGGAACUGAGACACGGUCCAGACUCCUACGGGAGGCAGCAGUAGGGAAUCUUCCGCAAUGGGCGAAAGCCUGACGGAGCAACGCCGCGUGAGUGAUGAAGGUCUUCGGAUCGUAAAACUCUGUUAUCAGGGAAGAACAAAUGUGUAAGUAACUGUGCACAUCUUGACGGUACCUGAUCAGAAAGCCACGGCUAACUACGU
Molecule: ribosomal RNA, 496 nt
Filed under: uncultured bacterium
Lineage: Bacteria
Description: partial 16S ribosomal RNA
Rfam family: Bacterial small subunit ribosomal RNA
Source: RNAcentral